AGAGUUUGAUCAUGGCUCAGGAUGAACGCUGGCGGCGUGCUUAACACAUGCAAGUCGAACGAACCUUCGGGUUAGUGGCGGACGGGUGAGUAACGCGUGGGAAUCUGCCCUCAGGAGGGGGAUAACGACUGGAAACGGUCGCUAAUACCCCAUAUGCCGAGAGGUGAAAGGAAUUUCGCCUGAGGAUGAGCCCGCGUCUGAUUAGCUAGUUGGUGAGGUAAGAGCUCACCAAGGCGACGAUCAGUAGCUGGUCUGAGAGGAUGAUCAGCCACACUGGGACUGAGACACGGCCCAGACUCCUACGGGAGGCAGCAGUGGGGAAUUUUCCGCAAUGGGCGAAAGCCUGACGGAGCAACGCCGCGUGAGGGAUGAAGGCCUCUGGGCUGUAAACCUCUUUUCUCAAGGAAGAAGAUCUGACGGUACUUGAGGAAUAAGCCACGGCUAAUUCCGUGCCAGCAGCCGCGGUAAUACGGGAGUGGCAAGCGUUAUCCGGAAUCAUUGGGCGUAAAGCGUCCGCAGGUGGCUUUGUAAAUCUGCCGUUAAAGCGUGGAGCUUAACUCCAUUUCAGCGGUGGAAACUACAAGGCUUGAGUGUGGUAGGGGCAGAGGGAAUUCCCGGUGUAGCGGUGAAAUGCGUAGAUAUCGGGAAGAACACCAGUGGCGAAGGCGCUCUGCUGGGCCAUAACUGACACUCAUGGACGAAAGCCAGGGGAGCGAAAGGGAUUAGAUACCCCUGUAGUCCUGGCCGUAAACGAUGAACACUAGGCGUCGGGGGAAUCGACCCCCUCGGUGUCGUAGCCAACGCGUUAAGUGUUCCGCCUGGGGAGUACGCACGCAAGUGUGAAACUCAAAGGAAUUGACGGGGGCCCGCACAAGCGGUGGAGUAUGUGGUUUAAUUCGAUGCAACGCGAAGAACCUUACCAGGGUUUGACAUCCUGCGGACCUCUGAGAAAUCGGGGGGUGCCUUCGGGAACGCAGUGACAGGUGGUGCAUGGCUGUCGUCAACUCGUGUCGUGAGAUGUUGGGUUAAGUCCCGCAACGAGCGCAACCCACGUCUUUAGUUGCCAGCAUUCAGUUGGGCACUCUAGAGAGACCGCCGGUGAUAAACCGGAGGAAGGUGUGGAUGACGUCAAGUCAUCAUGCCCCUUACAUCCUGGGCUACACACGUACUACAAUGCUACGGACAAAGGGCAGCAAGCUCGCGAGAGCAAGCAAAUCCCAUAAACCGUGGCUCAGUUCAGAUCGUAGGCUGCAACUCGCCUACGUGAAGGAGGAAUCGCUAGUAAUCGCAGGUCAGCAUACUGCGGUGAAUACGUUCCCGGGCCUUGUACACACCGCCCGUCACACCAUGGAAGUUAGCCACGCCCGAAGUCGUUACUCCAACCCUUGUGGAGGAGGAUGCCGAAGGUGGGGCUGAUGACUGGGGUGAAGUCGUAACAAGGUAACC
RNAcentral lists this ribosomal RNA (1446 nucleotides) under uncultured bacterium. RNAcentral describes it as "bacterial SSU rRNA". It matches the Rfam family "Bacterial small subunit ribosomal RNA". The record is from RNAcentral.